AUACGGAGGGUCCAAGCGUUAUCCGGAAUCAUGGGGUUUAAAGGGUCCGCAGGCGGUCAAUUAAGUCAGAGGUGAAAGCCCAUCGCUCAACGAUGGAACUGCCUUUGAUACUGGUUGACUUGAGUUAUACGGAAGUAGAUAGAAUAAGUAGUGUAGCGGUGAAAUGCAUAGAUAUUACUUAGAAUACCGAUUGCGAAGGCAGUCUACUACGUAUAUACUGACGCUGAGGGACGAAAGCGUGGGGAGCGAACAGGAUUAGAAACCCUAGUAGUCC
This 274-nucleotide ribosomal RNA is filed under the name uncultured bacterium. RNAcentral's name for it is "partial 16S ribosomal RNA". It matches the Rfam family "Bacterial small subunit ribosomal RNA", at positions 523 to 796 of the family's 1533-position model. The record is from RNAcentral.